UGACUGAAAGGUGGAAAGCAGUCAAGAGAUCUGCACUAAAAAUCUGAAGUCUCUCUUCAAAAAAUGUUUUUCUCAUGCGUUACUGCUAAAUUAACCUCCUGACAAAGGAGCUGGUGAGAUUUUGGAUUGACAGUAGGAAAAAUAGCUGAAAACGUGUCUUCGAUUUAAGCCACCUCUCUCACCAAAAACCUGGACCUGAAACACUAUUUCAGACUCGCAGGCUGUGAUGGAAAAAGCUAGGCUUUUAUUAAACAAGAAAAGUAGGAUUCUUCUUUUAUAUUAUCUCCUUGAUGCCAACAGGUACGGGAGAAUAUUGUGCAAGGAAAGGAUGGGCUUUUGUCUGAAAGCUGGCAUCUUUGGGUUUGUGUAGGUGAUAACUUUGGGGUGCAAUAGAAAUGCAGUUGUUGCUCAUUUCUGGUGAUUUAGAUCUCUUCAUCUGAGAUAGUGCUUCUGCUACUGGGGAACUGUGUGGGUCUGUUACUUCCAACUGUAAUAUUUUGUUGCUGGGGAAACACAUCAACACAGUUUUUCCACCAGAUUGCCAUUUUGAACAAAUGUCGCAAGUACCUAUGGAAUAGUGCCUGGACACAGGCUAUCUUUUUUGGGGGGGGGUGUGAGGGGGGAUAUUUCUGUUUUCUUGUUUGCUCUUUAAACUUAUUUGCUGGAUGAGCACAGGACCUUGCAAUCUAGCAGUUCUGUUUCAUUAUAUGGGUCUAUUGCCAUCUGGGCAUCUGUGUUCCCCAAGUUUCCUCCAAAGCACAUGCACAACUGUACAUUAUUCUAAAUGAUUGGGAACUAAAUAGCAACAUGGUUGGCACACUAAUUGCUAUCCCCUGUCAAGGUUGUCUUCCAGCAAAUAUUCAACAUGUAGACUCCAAAAUCUGAUAAUGUACGGAAAGCUGUUGUGUAUGAAUAUUGUACUAUGGAAAUAAUACUGUUGCAACACAUUGCUGUCUGUACAACCCCUUUGUAUUCUGGACAUCUGUGACAUGUACUUGUCAAAUGUCAGUUAGUCUGGAUGGUUUAGAUUUACAUCUUUUUCUCUACCAUGAAAGUCCUCAGACCAGAAACUAUCGUCAUGGCUUUCUUUAAAUUGUGCAGAAAAUGAUGUUAUUUAGAAGUUUUUUGCUACCCUUCUGUUCUAUUCACUCAACCACUCACUUUCUUUUGUGGUUAGCUUAACUUUUUAAGGAUAGCCUCCUGUCUUCUACCUGACAGGCCAAGGAGGAGUGGAGGCCAUGAAAAAUAAGAUGCUGCAGUAUUAUGAAGGCAUUGGAGAGUACGUUGGCAUGCCACAUCCUAGAUUGAUCAAGAAACACAAAAAGCUUCUAAUGUGAGGAAAAACACGCAAUGACAAGUGUGGAAAAGAGCAAGCACUAAAUUACUGUCAGAAAAAUAAACGGAGUAGCGUGCUGCUGCACGGUGAUUUACGGGGGCAAUUAACCACCACCCCACAGAGCUGCUGAGGACAGCACUGCUGCCUGAGGAAGUGUCAGGCGAAGAGGAAGGAAGAGGAACGCUUGGCUUGUGGCUUUCCAGACAACUUUGUGAAAAACAAGCAAGGAGGCACGGAAUGUGAAGGGUUUGGUAGCACAUCUCUAA
Hemicordylus capensis (graceful crag lizard) is the source of this 1602-nucleotide long non-coding RNA. RefSeq lists it as uncharacterized. The record is from RefSeq and is a predicted model, not a curated record. Lineage: Eukaryota; Metazoa; Chordata; Lepidosauria; Squamata; Cordylidae. The transcript is spliced from 2 exons.